Chelonia mydas (Green sea turtle) is the source of this 8114-nucleotide long non-coding RNA. RefSeq lists it as uncharacterized. The transcript is spliced from 3 exons. NCBI's taxonomy places the organism in Eukaryota, Metazoa, Chordata, Testudines, Cheloniidae. The record is from RefSeq and is a predicted model, not a curated record.
AAUCUAAAAAUAGGAAAUCCAUUUAAGGCAUCAACAACCAGAUCCACCUCAGCUCACAGGAGCAGCUCUUAUUAUUACCAUUGAAAUAAUACUACGCACAUGCCGAUGAAUCACAACACUCCUUCCCAACAGGCAGCACAAUGCAUGCAUCAGAUUCCUCAAAAUCACACACUCAAAUGCACAUGCUAAACUCUGAUGUCAGAUAUUUUUAGGUAACAGAUUUCAGAUAUAUACGAUUAAUCUUGCUGAGAUUGCAGGUAAACUUGUGUGUGGUUUUUAGGAAUCGGAUGCAUACAUAGUGUCUGGUUGAACAAUAGAAGUGAAAAGAAAGUUGACUGUGGAGCUGAGGAAUUAAUGGCUUUGUUUAGGUGUUAUGUUUCAGCAGUAAUGUAUUUAUAUUGAAGUUGUUGGAAUGAUUUCCUAGAUCUGAGUUUUUAUUAAAAGGAAAUAUACUUUUGCAACUGUAACUUUAAGACCUGGUCUACAUCUAAAGUUGCAUUCGUUUAGCUUAAAGUGUAAUUUUAAAUGGAUUUAGGCAAGGUGGGUGCAACUUUGUGCAUAGGCACUUUUAAAUAGAUUUAAACCUGACAUAUUGACUAAGUUGCUCCUGUAACUUAAUGCAAGUUAAACAAAUAAGUCACUUUUCAACUGAUAUAAAAGUGUCUGUGUUGGGGUUUGCAUCAAUUUAACUAAAUUGUUUUAAACAUUAUUUAAGUUAAGCCAGUGCAGCUUCUGUGUUUAGAAAAGCCUCCAGUUAAUAUUUGUGUGUCUGUAUAUACACAUGAUAAAAAUUAUAUUUAAAGGAACAUGAAGGUUGUAAAGUCAAGCAUUCAAGAGCUAGGAAAUGCCAGAAAUACAGUUGCCUGUGCAACCAUAAGUUGACCCUCUUGUGCAUAUGCAUUGUGAUACAGUCCAGUUAUAUUACAUGAUCACACCUGUUGUUUCCAUAGGAGUCCUGCCUUAUUCAGUGCACAGGACAGACGGUGCUCACUGAAUGAGCAGCUAUUCAAUAUUUUGUUUUAGCCUCAUUGUGUGGUCCUGUGCCUUGUUUACUGCACACUAUUCAAACUCUGCUGUGAAUACAGAAUUCGUUUCCUCACAGGCAUUCUAUAAUACUCAUCACUAUAGUAUUGGCAGGGCCAAAUUAAUGCAUAGGCAAACUAGGCCCAGAUUCAUGGGGGAGCCACUCAGGACAGGUCUUUACUACAGCACGGAUCCACGCUCUGAUAUCGAUCCACUGACGGUUGAUUUAGUGGGUCUAGUAAAGACAUGCCAAAUUGACUGCAGAUCGCUCCGCAGUCGACCCUUGUACUCUACCCCCCGACGAGAAGAGUAAAGUAAGUUGAUGAGAGAAAAUCUCCCGUCGACCCCCUGCAAUAACUCAACCUAAGGUAUGUUGACUCCAGCUAGGUUAUUCAUGUAGCUGGAGUUGCAUAGCGUAGGUCGACUUAUGCAGUAGUGUAGACAGCCUCAGGUUUGGCCCAGCUGCCUCUCCAUCGUGAUGGAGGGGGCAGCCGGGCCAAAUUUGAGUGAGUGGCGUUGGGACCCUAUUCCCCAGGUUGCAAUGCUACUCACUCAAAUUGGCCUUGGCUGCUCCACCGUCAUGAUGAGCAGUGCCCCAAGAAGCUGGAGGAUAAGCAGAUGGUCUGGUAGAUCCACAGCAUUGCCAGCCUGGCCAUGCUCCCAUUGACGUCAGUUGCAGCUGUGAGUUCUCUGCACUUCUGCAGAUCGGAUCCCAGCAUCUCAAGUUGGAAACCAAGAAAAAGAGGGACACAAUUAGUGACCACCUCUGAAAGAAAUCUGAUUGAAAUGACUUGCCCAGCAUCGCAUAGGAACUCCAUGGCAGAGGCAGGAGUAGAAUCCAGUUAUUCAGGGCAACUUUCAAUUGCCUUAACAAUGAAAGCAUCAUUUUUCUUCUUGCAAUCCCUUCCUCAUUCACUGCAUACUGUGCAGCUUCUGCAACAAAUGAGGCACGGGACCUACAGACGAGUCUCCUUCACUGCACGCAAUCCUGAUUCCUUCCCAGAGCAGGUUCAUGCUGUGCACUGAACAAGGCAUGGAUCCUGCUAAACCAGUCAAUCUCCCUGCUCUCUCUCUCCUCCUCCCCCCCGCCACCCAAAAGUCUGGUUCUUGUUCCCUUUGCAUUGAAUUCAGGCAGCUUCCUCCUCCUCUGCCUGGGUGACAACAUGGGGGCAUUGAGAGCACAGGAGAAAGAGUCUCAUGGUGUCUCUCCAUAUUUGUAUCUGGCGUCACAGUAGCCAUGAGGAGUGAUUGGAGGGAAAAUCCUGAUCAGACCUGCUGGCUUGGCUGUAGCAUACUCUCUGCAGAUAGAAUCUUUGGAGAAUUUAUCCGCCAAACUCUUACAAGCCUUUGAAAAAUCACAAUUCACACAUGGUCAAAGGCUUGUAAUUAAUCAAGUUUGGGCAGUUUUUCAGGGGGACAGCAAAAAGUAUAUCCUUGACACCAGAAUAAGGGUCAGAUUUCGAGGCCUUGCUCCCAUGGAUGGGAAUGCUAGGGCUUCGCAGAGAUUUGUAAUUUUUUUUUUUUUUUAAACCAUGGACUAUAAGCCCCUGUUUUUUCCCUGAUCAUGUUCUCCCAAACGGAUGAACCAUUUUCUCUUAAGUUCCUCCAAAAUGUUUCAGCCUGAAGCAGAGACCUGGCAUGGGAAAUUUCAACCCAAAUGAUUAAAGUUUGGCAAAGUUACAAGCAAUUGAAAACAAAGUCUUAUAAUGGGAAGUGCUGGGCAACCUUAACUAUAGGCAGUGCUACCAGCCCCAUCAGUAAUAUUUAUAGAGUGCCAGUUUGCAUAGCGCUGUAACAGAGAGAAUGUACCAAAAUAAACAGGAACCUGCUUGGAGUGACUAACAGAAGUUGGCCCAAUAAAAGAUAACUACCUCAUCCAGCCUUGUCUCAAACUGAAAACACACAGGAUAGCACGAUUGGGUUAUAGCCAGAAUGGAGCAUAGAAUAAUUUACAUACACUACACAUUUUUAGAGGUACUUAUGAAUUAAUAGUUCUCGUUUUGUUUGAAGUUUUAAACUUGAACUGUUUGAGUUACACUGGAUAAGGAAAAAAAAAAUCCAACAUAAAGGUAUCCCAUCCCCUUGUUUAGCAUAACAAAAGCAGCCAGAACAGAUUUUGCUUCAGUCUUUUGUAGUCUGACUUUGGGUUUAGUCAAAGUGAAAAGUUUCUGACCAAAAUAUUUGUAAAAGUUUGGAAUGACUGAGAGAGGGAGUUUAAGAUGAAAGUACAUUCCCUCACAACAAUGUAAUGAAACAAAUAACCCACCUUGGGACUGAGGUUUGUUGCUGUACAGUUAUCAAAUGUUAGUUACACUGGAGUUGAGUAACAUACCAGUAAACUUCUCUUUUUAGGACUUUAUAAAUAAACCCAAAUACACAUUGCAAGAGAAAAUUUGACAAUAUUGUUCUUUGCACUUCUGAAGUAUCAAAAUAUCUAGUCUAUUGCCUCCUGCCCCUUCUGAUCUAUCUAUAAAUGGCCCUGGAAACAUUAACAGAUGGCCAGAUUCAGAACUGGUGUAAGUGAGAAACUCCAUUGGCCGAAGGUCAGUGGAGGACAAACCUAAAUGCUUAGUAGUUACUACAGUAAAUUAAUUACUGUACUUUCUAUUUAUUUGCAUGUUCUAAAUAUCAUCAGGAUGGCAUAAAAAAAGCAGACUAUUUGCCUCACAUCAUGACAAUGGAAUUCACUUGGCUCAUUGUGUGAGGUAAGUAAUUUGAUGCAACUACAAAAUACCCAGUUUACUAAACAAACCAAUAGAUAUCAAAAUACGUAAUUUACACAAUUUAAGAUCUACAAUAGGACAUUUUUUAAAAAAGAAACAAAAACUAGAUUAAAAUAAGAGUUAAUUACCAAAGAAUCCCACAAAAGCAAGGAGUCACAGAAUUUAAGGUCAGAAGGGACUAUCAGAUCAUCUUGUCUAAUCUGUAUAUCACAGGCCACCAACACCCAAAAUUAGACUGAAGUAUUUACAGCUCACAGGAAACUAAUCUAUUAUGUGUCACAGGGAAACACUAGGAGGGACUGAGGUGUACCAAUGCCCGGGGCCUCUGCAAAGGCAGGGAACUGAUUCAGGUAUACCCAGUUGAUCCUGGCAAGUAGCCCACACCCCAUGCAGCAGAUGAAGGCAACCUCCCACCCCCCCCACAAGGUCACUUCUCAAAGAAGGAAAUCAGAUUAGUUGUGGCACUGUCUACUUUUGGUAAAAUCAUGUUGUAUAACAUCCAUGAAUUUAAUUACUCUUUCCUUCACAAUUUGUUCUAAAACCUUGUGUACUACUGAGAUCAGAUUAACCUGUCUGUAAUUGCCUGGAUCACUUCCCGCCCCACUUUCUUAAAUAUACAUAUGGCUUUAGCUAUUUUACAGUCAUAUGGUACUAUCCCCGAAUAGACAGAAUUAUUAAAAAUCCUUGUUAUCUGAUUAGCAAUCUCCUAUGCCAGUUCUUUCAGUAUUUUAGGUGCAUGCAGCUCUAUUUUUUUCUUCAGCCUCAGACGUGGUAAUAUUUCUAUACACUUUCCAUAUCCCAGUCCAACCCUGGGGUUUUACAACAGACCCUAACACUAUCCCAACAGAACCUCUUUCAUGAUCCUUCUCUAAUGAUUUUGACCAAAAUAGAUUCAGUUUUGUUCAUACUAUCACUUAGUAGUUCUUUAUAGUUUACCAGAUCAUUGAUGUACAAAGCUACCCCACCACCUUCACCUUUAUUUCUGACUCUCCUAAACAGCAUAUGUCCUUCAGUACUUUUACUUCAAUCAUGAGUGCUAUUUCACAAUGUUUCUGUAGUCCCUAUAAUGUCUGGUUUGACCUUCUGCAUCAGUAAUUCCAGUUCCUCCAUUUUAUUGGCAAGACUUAUAGCACUCAUGUACAAGGAUAUGAGUUUCCUUCAGACCUCACCCAGUUUUCCAGCUGAAAAUGCAGUGACAUUUAAAAAUGUCACAUCUUUGUAUAUUGCCAAAUUAAUCAUGGGUACUUGCUCUUCAUGCAGCAAAUCUGUGAAGAUCUCAAAUGUGUGUGGCUGAAUUUACAGGAGUUGUAGGGCUGCCACACUUUAAUAGUAUGGAGGCAUCCCUUUAAUUUCAUUACAGUGCUCUCUAGUAGUGGCAUAUACAAUUUUAAUAACUACACAAACAUACAGCAAUUCACUAAAUAUGCAUGGGAUCAUAUACAUGCAUCAAAGGAAUAUAUUUUAUAGCUUUGAUUGUUUUUUGUUUGUUUACAAUCCUUUGUGCCUCUCAGAGGCUCUCCAAGUGCUUUCUAAGGUAUGUGUGUAUUAUCACUAUUAUACAGAUGGGGAAACUGAGGCAUGGGGAGGUUAGAGGGACAUUCAGCUUUCAAGUGUUGUCUGUUAUUUUUGCAAGUAAAAUCUGAUUAUUAUUGAAAAACUAGAGGAAAAUUCUAGUCUGUUUUUCAGUUUACUGUGCACUUGACAGAACUUUGUGUGUUUAUGUUCACUGUUUCCCCUGUAUAGUCAGUUCCCUCUGUGCACACUGAAAGGGAAGGGAAGAUAUUUAAAAAAAGCUAAAUGUGAUUGUAAAGCUGUAACAUAGGGGCAGCUGUACUGCCUGAAAUCACUUAACUCAUAUUUUGAAAAUGAUUAGAUUUCAAGUUGAUGUUUCUAAGUGACUUUUCCAGGGUUAUGAAGGAAUUCAGUCAGGAACACACUAUACUAUGUGUGUUUGGAGGUUGUGCAUGUCCAGAUUUGGGAGCAGAGGAAAUCAUAAUAUAUGGCUCUCCCCUUCCCACUGGGAAAAUUGCUCGGCCACCUCUGCAGCACCAUUCACUUCCCUUCUCCUCCACUAUACCUUGUGAAGGGCGCUCCACAUAGGGUGGGAAAGGCUGGAAUGGUGGUGGUGGUGGUUAAAAUGGGGGCAGGAAUGCAUAUCAUCUCCCGUCUGGCCCUGUGGAAAUUCAGAAGAAUUUACAAUACAGCCUGGGGAUUUAUUCUUUUUGCCAUGGAGCUCCCAUCUCAGUGGGGAAAUCCCCUUUGUGGGCUGGGAGGGUAGGGUAGGUUUCAAAGGCUGCUUCAUUGCAGCCACACUGCCAGGAACCAAAAGGGGUGUAGAAGAGGCAAGAGCUGCUGCAGGAACAUGCAACUGCCACUGAAAUGGCCUUAGUCUUCUGUGGUCUCCCCUCCAGGAACUACAAGUGUUCUAGCCAGGCCAUGCACCCUAUACCACAUGGGUUGGAGUGAGAGGGGCAAACUCACACCAAGCUCCUCCCAGUGGAAUGAUGCGGGGGUGGGAGGGAGGGGAAUUCCUUUUCCUUCUCUUGGAGGGUGCAAUCUGAGUCCAGGUCUAGUGGCUUGACAUUAUGAUAUACUGAGAUUUAUUUGCUGAUUAGAAGUAGACAUUCAAUUAUUAGUUUUCCACAUGCAAAUCACUCCUGUAUUAUAUCUUCGUGGACACACACACACUGAGAGCAUUGAGAAAAGGCGUACUUCUGGCACCUUAGAGACUAAAAUUUAUUUGAGCAUAAGCUUUCGUGAGCUACAGCACUGAGUAUCUUGUUGCUGCUACACAGAAACUAUUAUUCUUAUUCUUACUAUUCUUUUUUUGUAGAAUCUUCAUUAGGCACCUAUUAAAGUAUGAGAAAUGCCUUUGUUGUAAGACUCCCAGCUCCUGAUCUUUGUGGAAGUAGUUAAUAUAUAACAUGAAAUCGAACUACUUCAGAAUAUUUUGAUCAGACCCAAUAACUUUUGCACUGUUCAUUCCAGAUUUCUCUCUCUCCUUGUCCCUCCUCCCAUGUUUCCUCUUCUGCUUUUCUCUUCCUUUUCCCUUGUUUCCUUUUCUAGCAAUCCUUUCUUGUCUGGUUGUUUGUCAAUAAAAUGUUUGCCUUUAGGUGGGACCUGAACUGUGCUAUGUCAGCUCACCUGGGGAUAGAGGUUUCAGUAAGUACAAUAGACCACGACAAGCAAUGAUAGGGUAACUUCAGAAUCUGAUACCUCAAUAUAGAACUCCCGCAUAAAAGAGGGGCCAGCCUCAUUAGAGGAUGUAGACAGAGCCUUCAUGUCCUGUCUUUCUCCCCCAUGCCUGGCACUAUUUAGUCUCCUUCAAGUUGAUGUUCCAUUUAGUCUGCAAUGGUGGAAGGCAUUUAUCUGGCAUUUUUUUUGGAAGACUUACAAGAAACACUUCAGCUAAUGUAUGCAGCAAUACACACUACAUAGAAGGUGACAUCCUAACCCUGCUGAAAUCAAUGGCAAAACUCCCAUAGAUUCAGUGGGGCCAGGAUUACACUAAUUAAGCAGAUUUAAGCUCCUAAAAGGACAUCCAUAAGUGUUUGCUAAUAAAAUUAUUUAUCAUGUAGAAAAAGAUUCUUAAGAGAAACUGAAUAGUUUAAUAUCUUGUUAUUCAAUAUUAGAACUCUGUUGCACAAUUGCUUCCUGAUGUUUCAUUACUAUGUGUGUGUCAGAGAGACUGUGAAAGUCAUAUGACUAGUAAACAAUAUAUAGUUUCCUUGUCCCAGUCAGCCCACCUAUAAAUAAAUAAAGAGACCAUUCUAGAUACUGAUGCAGUCAUGCUACAUCUAAGCUGAACUUUUCUGGGAAAUAAAAGUGUAAUGCACAAAAAUUAAAAGCUAGCCUCCCCAAAAUAUCAAAAAGUUAUACUUUCCCUGAUAAUGUAAAAGUUUGCUGAGAUUUGUUCUCUGGAUUCAUAAGUACUUUGUAGAAAUCAUUACAGUAUCCACAGGAGAUAGUUUUUUAAUAAAUGCAAAAUAAUAAUAAUGUAUCUUUGACACUAAAACAUGCCACUUGCAGGCUAUAACUAACUUAUUUGUACAGGGUACAAGAAAGUUUACUGAAUAAACAUAACCAUACUUGUUUUUGCUGUGUUGUCAUUGCUGACUGGUUUGGGUACGAGUCCUGCCAAAGCUGCAGACUUCAGAGCGUUGCCAUAGCUCACUGCUAAGUUUUCUGAAGCUUUCUUGGCCAGUGAAAAGAUGGGAGCAGACCAUCCUGAUUCUUCAACAGUUUUCUCUUUCCCUUCAUUUUUGAGCUCAGUUAUAUUAGGAAUCAGGGUUCUGUCAAUGAUUUCAAAAUCCUCUUUCCGUUCCACAGCAGAUGCAUUGCAACUCUCUCCUUCAGCCAUCUUUAAAA